RNAcentral lists this ribosomal RNA (522 nucleotides) under uncultured bacterium. Its description in RNAcentral is "bacterial SSU rRNA". It matches the Rfam family "Bacterial small subunit ribosomal RNA", at positions 358 to 873 of the family's 1533-position model. The record is from RNAcentral.
GGAAUUUUGGACAAUGGGCGCAAGCCUGAUCCAGCCAUGCCGCGUGUGGGAAGAAGGCCUUCGGGUUGUAAACCACUUUUGUCAGGGAAGAAAUCGAGCUUACUAAUAUUAGGCUUGGAUGACGGUACCUGGAGAAUAAGCACCGGCUAACUACGUGCCAGCAGCCGCGGUAAUACGUAGGGUGCGAGCGUUAAUCGGAAUUACUGGGCGUAAAGCGUGCGCAGGCGGUUUUGUAAGUCAGAUGUGAAAGCCCCGGGCUCAACCUGGGAAUUGCAUUUGAAACUGCAAGGCUAGAGUGUGUCAGAGGGGGGUAGAAUUCCACGUGUAGCAGUGAAAUGCGUAGAGAUGUGGAGGAAUACCGAUGGCGAAGGCAGCCCCCUGGGAUAACACUGACGCUCAUGCACGAAAGCGUGGGGAGCAAACAGGAUUAGAUACCCUGGUAGUCCACGCCCUAAACGAUGUCAACUAGUUGUCGGAGAAGCAAUUCUUUGGUAACGCAGCUAACGCGUGAAGUUGACCGCC